AGAGUUUGAUCAUGGCUCAGAACGAACGUUAGCGGCGCGCUUAACACAUGCAAGUCGCACGAGAAAGGGCUUCGGCCCCGGUAAAGUGGCGCACGGGUGAGUAACACGUGGGUAACCUGCCCUCGAGCGGGGGACAACAUUCCGAAAGGAGUGCUAAUACCGCAUAAGACCACGGGCUCGAAAGAGCACGGGGUAAAAGCUGGCCUCUGUACACAUGCUAGCACUUGAGGAUGGGCCCGCGGCGCAUCAGCUUGUUGGCGGGGUAAUGGCCCACCAAGGCUAAGACGCGUAGCUGGUCUGAGAGGAUGAUCAGCCACACUGGAACUGAGACACGGUCCAGACUCCUACGGGAGGCAGCAGUGGGGAAUCUUGCGCAAUGGGCGAAAGCCUGACGCAGCGACGCCGCGUGAGUGAUGAAGGCCUUCGGGUUGUAAAGCUCUGUGGGGAGAGACGAAUAAGUGCAGGCCAAUACCCUGCAUGAUGACGGUAUCUCCUUAGCAAGCACCGGCUAACUCUGUGCCAGCAGCCGCGGUAAGACAGAGGGUGCAAACGUUGUUCGGAAUUACUGGGCGUAAAGCGUGUGUAGGCGGUUUCGUAAGUCGGAUGUGAAAGCCCUGGGCUCAACCCAGGAAGUGCACUCGAUACUGCGAGGCUAGAGUAUCGGAGAGGUUGGUGGAAUUCUCGGUGUAGAGGUGAAAUUCGUAGAUAUCGAGAGGAACACCGGCGGCGAAGGCGGCCAACUGGACGAAUACUGACGCUGAGACACGAAAGCGUGGGGAGCAAACAGGAUUAGAUACCCUAGUAGUCC
RNAcentral lists this ribosomal RNA (808 nucleotides) under uncultured bacterium. Its description in RNAcentral is "bacterial SSU rRNA". It matches the Rfam family "Bacterial small subunit ribosomal RNA", at positions 8 to 796 of the family's 1533-position model. The record is from RNAcentral.